GUAACAUUAACAAUUGAGGUAGAUUGUUGGAUGACUUAAUUUUAAAGCCAUUCAACUAUCUGUCUUCUCUUGUUAAAUUAC
This 81-nucleotide microRNA precursor is filed under the name Schmidtea mediterranea. Its description in RNAcentral is "let-7b stem-loop (sme-let-7b)". Its record names the gene sme-let-7b. The record is from miRBase by way of RNAcentral. Lineage: Eukaryota; Metazoa; Platyhelminthes; Tricladida; Dugesiidae.